GCCACCUCAUCGUGUCCGCCAUCUUGGGGCGACGGCCAGAAGUCCAGGGCUAGGAGCCUCAGCCGGCGGACGCCAGGAAACAGAACUGAACCAAAAUACAAACAACAUAAACUACCACUUGAUGAGAAGAACUUCAAAGUCAAAUUGCAAAAGGUGACUAAAAAAGGGGAGUACUUUCAGCCGUUUUCAAAAUAAUCUAUGAUAUGUACUGGAAAACUUCUAAUAAUCCUUGUCAUUUUACAACUUUCCCACAGUUAGAUCAUCAGCAAAUGUCACUUGGAUCCCUAGCUAAAUUGUUCUUCCCAGAAAAUAGUUAUCUCCACUAUGGAAAGUAUUUUAUCAGAAGAAUUCGUAGAAGUAGAAUCUGUUUGUCUUCAGUUAAACAAAAGAAGAACCUCAUUGCUUUCCAACUGGGCCCCGGCCAUUUUCCAGUUGAAACAUCAAAUAUUUUAUUUGUGUCUUUCACUGCCAAUUAAAGGGCAACAGAAAUGGUACAGGCUCCCUCUGCAGUGGAAUUACCCUUAUGUCUUUUCUGUCUAUGCUGAUCCACCUGAUCUUGAACUGGUGCUAUUCCAUGGGGAAAAUUGGAACAUGGGGCAAUUAACACUUUCUCCACUUUAUCCCAUCAACAGGAAAUUGAAAUAUAACCAACUAACUCAGGAGACAUCAUGGAAGAUGUCACACAGUGAAUGAUGAUGAAGCAGAAUUUUUAAAAUGUGUAGGAUUACGAGAAGUGGGGUCAUUUUUCUUUGUGUAUGGUAUUGCUGAUGCAGUUUAAUGCUCCAUUACUUCUAAAUUUUCAUCAUAAGCUAGAUUUUCCAGUUGUGGUUUCUAUAAAGAAAAACAAACAUUCUGAAGACAGUUUUUCCAGAUUUAUUCCAGAUAUCGAUGAUUAACUUUUGAAGCUCCUCUGUUGAUUUGAACAUCCGCUGAAGCUUAUUUUUCACCUCAGAAUAGCAUCAACAUUAUUUGAAAUUCAAUUGUACUUUCUCGUUACAUUAAUAAAUCAUGGAAGUUGAGAAAA
Molecule: long non-coding RNA, 1024 nt
Filed under: Homo sapiens (human)
Lineage: Eukaryota; Metazoa; Chordata; Mammalia; Primates; Hominidae
Description: long intergenic non-protein coding RNA 879
Source: RNAcentral